RNAcentral lists this non-coding RNA (582 nucleotides) under Pan troglodytes (chimpanzee). RNAcentral also lists the same sequence under 1 other name. The record is from RNAcentral. Lineage: Eukaryota; Metazoa; Chordata; Mammalia; Primates; Hominidae.
UAGCUUUAACCUCCCGUCAGCGGCCGCCCCAGGAAGAGGCUUCUCGGCCGCGGAGCCACUUGGGGCCUCAGUUCUCGCCCUCUUGCCGUCGCCGCGGGUCCUGGAGAAGCGGCCGCGGCCAGGGAACGGGGCAUCGCGGUUCCAACGAUUAACUGCUGAAGUACUGAUCGAGUUCUGCAUUUCUUCAAUGAGGAACUACAGGCUGAUCUUCUGCCAUAAUCUCAAACAGCCAUAAAUGACAAAAGAAUGCUUGCUCAGUGAGGGUAGCUGGUGCAGAAGCCAUUUUUUAAACUUAGGUAUUUAAGUACUGAAAGGUAAGUUUUCAAAAUGGUAACUAUCUCGUGCUCUAUAAAUCCAUAGAGAUUUUGGAACUUGCCCCUGUAGCUGCUAUUUGAUUUAACUUGAGGUUUUAUAGUUCUUAGCUGGCACCAGAUACAUUGAAGAAUGGAUGUUGCUUGUCUGAGACUAUGUAAAUGUAUGGCAUUUUGCUAUCCUUAAGUUAAUUUUUUCUUUUAAGUUGGCUGCAUUGUUUCCUAGUCAUGUUGUGACAUUCUUGAUCCAGUGGGUAUACACUUGAUCCAG